Homo sapiens (human) is the source of this 503-nucleotide long non-coding RNA. Lineage: Eukaryota; Metazoa; Chordata; Mammalia; Primates; Hominidae. The record is from Ensembl.
AACCACAAACUCUCAGGGUUGAACUCCAGAUUCUCUCAAUAGCUCCCACAAUGUUCUCUGCUCUAAGGAAAGAAACGAAUGGACCCAUCUAGUUUAAGAGUUCAAGAUUUCAGCUUGAGAGAGGGAGCCAGGAGGAGAUGACUGCAUCAUAGGGGCAGGUUUUUCCCAUGCGGUUCUCAUGAUUGUGAAUGGGUCUCACGAGAUCUGAUGGUUUUAAAAACGGGAGUCUCCCUGCACAAGCUCUCUCUUUGUCUGCCACCAUCCACGCAGGAUGUGACUUUCUCCUCCUUGCCUUCUGCCAUGAUUGUGAGGCCUCUCUAGUCAUGUGGAACUAAAUUCAAUUUGGACCUGGACCAGCGAGCCAGCAAGAUGUCUUGUCUCUCCUUCAGCCAGUGUCAACUUUGUCACCUGAAAGAGCUCAACUUGAGCUGGAAUAGCCACUUUGAAUAUGGGUAUGACACAUGAAUGGAAAGUUGGUGUUGGCUAUCAGCCAGGAGCUUAGA